RNAcentral lists this ribosomal RNA (252 nucleotides) under uncultured microorganism. RNAcentral describes it as "partial 16S ribosomal RNA". It matches the Rfam family "Bacterial small subunit ribosomal RNA", at positions 524 to 776 of the family's 1533-position model. The record is from RNAcentral.
UACGGAGGGGGCGAGCGUUGUUCGGAGGUACUGGGCGUAAAGCGAGCGCAGGUGGUUUAAUAAGUCUGAUGUAAAAGGCAGUGGCUCAACCAUUGUGUGCAUUGGAAACUGUUAGACUUGAGUGCAGUAGAGGAGAGUGGAAUUCCAUGUGUAGCGGUGAAAUGCGUAGAUAUAUGGAGGAACACCGGUGGCGAAAGCGGCUCUCUGGACUGUAACUGACACUGAGGCUCGAAAGCGUGGGUAGCAAACAGG